GACCGAACCGACUUACGUUGAAAAGUGAGCGGAUGAACUGAGGGUAGCGGAGAAAUUCCAAUCGAACCUGGAGAUAGCUGGUUCUCUCCGAAAUAGCUUUAGGGCUAGCCUCAAGUGAUGAUUAUUGGAGGUAGAGCACUGUUUGGACGAGGGGCCCCUCUCGGGUUACCGAAUUCAGACAAACUCCGAAUGCCAAUUAAUUUAACUUGGGAGUCAGAACAUGGGUGAUAAGGUCCGUGUUCGAAAGGGAAACAGCCCAGACCACCAGCUAAGGUCCCAAAAUAUAUGUUAAGUGGAAAAGGAUGUGGCGUUGCCCAGACAACUAGGAUGUUGGCUUAGAAGCAGCCAUCAUUUAAAGAGUGCGUAAUAGCUCACUAGUCGAGUGACACUGCGCCGAAAAUGUACCGGGGCUAAACAUAUUACCGAAGCUGUGGAUUGUCCUUUGGACAAUGGUAGGAGAGCGUUCUAAGGGCGUUGAAGCAUGAUCGUAAGGACAUGUGGAGCGCUUAGAAGUGAGAAUGCCGGUGUGAGUAGCGAAAGACGGGUGAGAAUCCCGUCCACCGAUUGACUAAGGUUUCCAGAGGAAGGCUCGUCCGCUCUGGGUUAGUCGGGUCCUAAGCUGAGGCCGACAGGCGUAGGCGAUGGAUAACAGGUUGAUAUUCCUGUACCACCUAUAAUCGUUUUAAUCGAUGGGGGGACGCAGUAGGAUAGGCGAAGCGUGCGAUUGGAUUGCACGUCUAAGCAGUAAGGCUGAGUAUUAGGCAAAUCCGGUACUCGUUAAGGCUGAGCUGUGAUGGGGAGAAGACAUUGUGUCUUCGAGUCGUUGAUUUCACACUGCCGAGAAAAGCCUCUAGAUAGAAAAUAGGUGCCCGUACCGCAAACCGACACAGGUAGUCAAGAUGAGAAUUCUAAGGUGAGCGAGCGAACUCUCGUUAAGGAACUCGGCAAAAUGACCCCGUAACUUCGGGAGAAGGGGUGCUCUUUAGGGUUAACGCCCAGAAGAGCCGCAGUGAAUAGGCCCAAGCGACUGUUUAUCAAAAACACAGGUCUCUGCUAAACCGUAAGGUGAUGUAUAGGGGCUGACGCCUGCCCGGUGCUGGAAGGUUAAGAGGAGUGGUUAGCUUCUGCGAAGCUACGAAUCGAAGCCCCAGUAAACGGCGGCCGUAACUAUAACGGUCCUAAGGUAGCGAAAUUCCUUGUCGGGUAAGUUCCGACCCGCACGAAAGGCGUAACGAUUUGGGCACUGUCUCAACGAGAGACUCGGUGAAAUCAUAGUACCUGUGAAGAUGCAGGUUACCCGCGACAGGACGGAAAGACCCCGUGGAGCUUUACUGUAGCCUGAUAUUGAAAUUCGGCACAGCUUGUACAGGAUAGGUAGGAGCCUUUGAAACGUGAGCGCUAGCUUACGUGGAGGCGCUGGUGGGAUACUACCCUAGCUGUGUUGGCUUUCUAACCCGCACCACUUAUCGUGGUGGGAGACAGUGUCAGGCGGGCAGUUUGACUGGGGCGGUCGCCUCCUAAAAGGUAACGGAGGCGCUCAAAGGUUCCCUCAGAAUGGUUGGAAAUCAUUCAUAGAGUGUAAAGGCAUAAGGGAGCUUGACUGCGAGACCUACAAGUCGAGCAGGGUCGAAAGACGGACUUAGUGAUCCGGUGGUUCCGCAUGGAAGGGCCAUCGCUCAACGGAUAAAAGCUACCCCGGGGAUAACAGGCUUAUCUCCCCCAAGAGUUCACAUCGACGGGGAGGUUUGGCACCUCGAUGUCGGCUCAUCGCAUCCUGGGGCUGUAGUCGGUCCCAAGGGUUGGGCUGUUCGCCCAUUAAAGCGGUACGCGAGCUGGGUUCAGAACGUCGUGAGACAGUUCGGUCCCUAUCCGUCGUGGGCGUAGGAAAUUUGAGAGGAGCUGUCCUUAGUACGAGAGGACCGGGAUGGACAUACCUCUGGUGUACCAGUUGUCGUGCCAACGGCAUAGCUGGGUAGCUAUGUGUGGACGGGAUAAGUGCUGAAAGCAUCUAAGCAUGAAGCCCCCCUCAAGAUGAGAUUUCCCAACUUCGGUUAUAAGAUCCCUCAAAGAUGAUGAGGUUAAUAGGUUC
This 2089-nucleotide ribosomal RNA is filed under the name Staphylococcus aureus. RNAcentral describes it as "partial 23S ribosomal RNA". It matches the Rfam family "Bacterial large subunit ribosomal RNA", at positions 772 to 2863 of the family's 2925-position model. Lineage: Bacteria; Bacillati; Bacillota; Bacilli; Caryophanales; Staphylococcaceae. The record is from RNAcentral.